AAGAAUAAAAUUAAUAUCUCUUAACUUUCACAACCAGAAAUACUAUAAGACCGACAUCUAGUAAUUUCCGUUCAAUAUCAAUUAAUAACCUCUCAACUUAAAAAAAACCAGACCUACACACAAUUUAGUUCAUUUUUCCCAUUAGGAGAAACGGAGGAGAAAAACGAGAAUAUAGCAUUGAUUCACUUUCAAAACGAAAAGUAUGCAUGUUGCAAUUUAGAGGGCAGUAUAUCAUUAAGAUGUCCUGCAAGUGAGAGAGAGAAAGUCUCGUGGCACGACAAGAAACCCUAUUUGCAUGAAAGACGAUGAAUUGGCAGCGAGUGGUAGGCCUGAUUACACGGUAACCAGCGGAGAAGCAUCUGUUCUCAUCGCAACUUCAUACUGCUUCCAGACUGUAAGACCCACUCUCCACGCACUCUUCUGAAGAAUAUAACCAGCUCGCCAAAAAACAAGAUCACUAAAACGACACCCGUAUCACAAGCAGGCUACCGGCCAAAAAACUUUCCCUCGAACAGGCCAAUCGGCAAAACGAGAUCAACUCACUCUGCAGAGGCGGCGACAUCAUAACCCGAAUGCAAGGAGCCACAAUCAGGGCUAGCUCUCGUUGUAGCCAAAGCUGGACACCCGACCAUAACACCAACCACAUCAUCUUCCUCGUUUCCAUCUUCACGAUUCCUCAGAAAAGCAUCCAAAUAAUGUUCAUCGGUGGAAGGUAACUCGUAGACGGUGCCAGGUGUCCAAUUACUGGGUAGAUCCCGUCGAUUGGCAGAUUCAUCGUCAAUUUUGUUAACUUGAUCGUUUUUCCUGGCGUAUAGUUUACGGAGACUUGACAUGACUUCUUAAGGAGUUGACCCAUGUAAAUAUGCCAUCUGAAUUGUUGCUGGUUUCCAAGAAAUAUUCGCUUGGCAAUUUGAAAGUAGCAUUGGAAUAACUGUUCUUCUAUAAUUGAUGUAUGUAAGUUAACAUCUUUUGUUCUCGUUUAGAGGGGGCUGAUGUCAGUCAUUAUGAAGCAUUAUCUCUUCUAGUAGCAAAACCUUCGUUCUUAUGUUUUGUUGUUGUAUACUAUCAGUAUAGGAGUAACUUUAUUAUCGCUGAUGAAUGCUAAUGUAUUGAAAUUAAUUUCUGCCUGAUCCUAGUCAACAGUAUAUCGUCUCUUCCUCAUGACUUCUCUUACAGUCUUACAGAAUCGUGUCUGGAAUCCUAAGAUUGGAAGAGCCAGGCGUCGAAAGUCCACGAUUCUAUGCAUGUCAUCAUCGACCCAAUGCUUCAUAAGGACUAAAAAACUCGGUGGCUCCUCCAAGUCUGCCAUUUACUCAAUACUUUAACCAUUUUGAAAGAGCCAAAAAAGUGGUAUUGGCAUUUGGCUGACGGUGUACCAUGUUUUUUUCAGUUCCUCGGGUUGGCACGCGCUGUUGGAACACCAAGAGAUUCUCCAGGAUACGGCAAGGACGCGUCGAAGGGACAGGGACAACGGAGAAAGCGAGCGUCGUAAGGAAGGAAGGAGGAAAGAUAGUAGGCAAUGAAGAGGAAAAGAAGAGACAAAGAUGCAGCUAGGAAGGAGGAACAGAGAGAACUAAACCAAGGGGGAGAGGGAAAGAGCGUACAAUGUGCAGAAUGGGAAGAGAGCAAGAGAAAGGAGAGGGAGAGGCAAUCUCACUCUCAGUGACACGUAAACUGGACUGCAGAAGCAAACAUAGCCUCGUCGUUGGCGAUGUCCCGCAGGCUCACUGCAAGUGGUUGCAAAUGUUCGUCGUAAUGACGCUGCCGUUUUUCUGGAGUAUAUCCACUUGAUGCCCUCGCCUUGCCCAAGAAACACGGUAAUGGUUCUUGGCUGAUCGUUAACCGACUGGUUCACUUGGAAAUGCGAUGUUAAUUGGUUAUUAAUCGACCAUUAACCAGAUGGCCUCGAUAAAACCGGAACAUUUUGCUUCGUAUAUCGGCAAACUAUUCUAUUGGAUCUUUUAUUGCAUCGAACAGACGCAUACGCACGAAUUCAUUAACGUGAGAUGGUGUAAAAUUACUGGUUAAUUAUAAAUUGGUCAUUAAUCGAUAAGAAAUACCGAAAACAGGAUACAGCAGUCCUUUUGUUCCUACGUUUCUCUCGAAUCUAUAUUUAAAUUCAUAUUUUACAUAUUUAUCUAAAUUAUUUACUGACUUUUAUCAGAGACUAAUUAAUCAUCCAACAACACGUGAUGGAUUUCAGAUUUACAUAUCAUCAUCGUGAAUCUUGAGUUCAAACUCGUUCGCAUUCGAGUAUCAGAGUGCUACCAAAUUAAUUGAUAUUCAAUUAGGUCCCAGGAGUCUUUUUACAGGAAAGUCUUAAACUUAAUGGGAAUUCGUUACCCGAACACAUACUCCAAAUUCCCAAGUAAAGUGGCCAAAAAGCGCGGUUUUAAUUAACACUUCAUUAACCAAAUUGGUAAAGCGUAAUCAGUUUCAGCAAAUUUUUAAUUUACCAAGAAACGUUAAUCACGAUGCAGUGCGUAUCUUAUAUGUCCAAACUAAUUAUUCAAAACGGUGUUCCUAAUUAAAAGUUAAUUAAUCAAUUAGUAGAAAACGAUUCUCUGUAUCAGAAAACAUUGAAUACAUUGGAACGAAUCCUGAUCCAUUUCUGAACGUUACAUUGGGCAAGGAGACCUGCAAUAGGCCUUCUUACGUAAUCCAAGUGGAACGAGUCCUUUUCCGGACUCGAUUCUCGGAUCGUCCCUAAUGAUACGGACUAUCCGCCGCCAAUGAGACAUAAAUCGCUUAAUCAUCGUUACCGUACUCUCCAACAUUCCACCGUUUCUCGUUUCACUCAAUCGUAAGCAUGGAUUAGCAGAAACCUCUAGUCUCCUUUCUGCUUAUUUUACCGCGAUACACAUGAAUGAUUUUUCAGGACGAUUCCAGGAGUAUAGGUUUGUGAUAAUAAUACUGGCUAUGAAUCAUGCUCGGCUCAAUUAAGUCACAACUUCUCCGUUUAUUUCUCUGACAAAUAUCUGUUUAACAUGCUGUUUGCUGAUACAUGGAGAAAUGUAGAAAAGGAAUUUAAAAUUACGGAGGAUGUGAAAGAGUAACAUCUAUUCUGUAAGAAAAUUGUCCAAAGAUUAGAGAAAGGUGUAAUCGUGAGUAUUCGCGACUACUCGGUUAUCCCCACCUUCUGCGUUAUCAUGAAAGGAUCACAGUGCGAUUUUAUGCUCAGCCAAUAAGCAUAGAGUUUUUGUCCCCUCUACUUUACAGCUAAUAUCCUAUAGAAGUGGUAAUAUCCAAGGUGUACGCCUGACUUAGCAUUUAUUCUUACUGGCUAUAAAGCGGGAACUAUAUAAUACGUUUUUAAAUAAUUUACCUCUUCUUCAAAAGCAAUCUUUGUAUUUUGUUAUUAAUUGAUUUUUUGUUUCUGGUAAAAUGAACUGGGAGGAGAAAUUUCUGUUUACUGGUCAUCAAUUAGGCAGAUUCGCAACUUACAGUUGGAGUUCCUUAUUUAUGAUGGCACGCUGUCCGUUCCGUUUGACUUGAGGUUAAAAUAGAUGCAUAAACAUAAAGCUGCAUCUGGAACGAACUGUUAAUACCCAGUAGCAUUUGCUCACGCUGCUUCUCUUUGAUUUCACAUCAUGCAUACGUAAGAAGUCGCAACGAUGUCUGGAUAACGACUGAGUAACACGACUAAUCUUCGGCAGUGGUUUUUAGCAUAUAACACGAACAACUUGUGCAUUCUAAUGCCUAGAAGAACGAGCGAACCGAGACAAAAACCUUUCAUUUGCAAAUGUCCAUAAAUCAAUUUUCUUCAUUAACAUGUAUUCUCGUCAAUCUUUAUUUGAUAUCUUUUCCUCGCUAAAAAUAAUGUUUUACAAAUUACAAAAAAUAUAUUUAAUACGUAAUUAUCUCGUACAAUUCAAAAAAGCUCAUAUAGCCAUUAAAUAUUAUUAUAUAUCUGUCUGUCCAUAAUUACAGAUAUUUCGCUAGUACUAGUAACUACAGUCGACCUUAUAUUCGAGAAUUUGAAGUUAGCGCUUUUAACGUCUCCAUAACCUCACUCGCUCAACAUAACCGCAACCAUAGCGUGCAAAUUUCAUUUCCUCCUUACUUUUUACUUUACUGUAGAGGUCGACUGCGAUUCAGCGAGAUUCUUUCCUCCACAGAACUUACCAUAAGGGUACAUGCCACUAAUGAUCUUUAUUGUAUCAAAGAUCAAAGAUAUUUUAGCAGAAAUAUCGAUGGUGGUUUGCAAACGAUUCAGUACAUGAUAAGUUGCUGCCGAGAUACUGACUCGAUUCUCGUUCGUCGAAGAGCCGAUUAAAAGGGUGGAUCGAAAUUGACGACUUAAUUUAAUUCAGAGGGCAGGCAUACAACGUUGCAACAUCUCUUUUUGGUUCAGCCAGGACAUUCGCUUCCGAGAAUGCCAUGGAGAAAUGUCUUCAUCGAGCUGCUUAGUGGCAACUGCCACAUCACAGUUUUUGCUGCUGUUCCCUUUCAAGCUUUUUAUCGUUCAUGGAAUUGACGAACAUUUCUGGUUCACAGUAUGAUUCUAAACGAGACGAUGAUUCGAUGUAAAAUCAUGGGUUUCAAUCAAAGCUGUACUUCGUCUUCCUUCAAUCAUUCCAAGCAUUUCCUUCAUUUGAAAAGGAUGAAGGUUUCCUCAAUCAAUUUUUUGCCGUUAUGAAUUACCCUUUUUCUAUCGGUCCAGAGGUUCAGACGUCAAUGGUCCGCUAGUUCAAGGUAGAUUGAAAAUUCUGUUAGACAAUUGAAACGCGCAUCUCUGUAAUUGAAUCUUUUUACUCGAAGACUCGAAUAGAUAACCUACAGCACAAAUUUAGUGGUCUAGCUCUUUCAUUCCUAAUUCAUUAAUUUCAUUUCAAUGAUCUACUAUUCAAAAAGCGUUCAUCUCUAUAUCCCAUCAAACAAAAUGGUGACUGUAUCAUUAGUUUAACAGCAGGAAAUAUUUCUAACGCCUAAAGUAACAGGAUCGCUUCUGACACUCUACUAAAACAGGUGGCACACGAUUGUCUGAGAGAAGCCUGGUUGGUUAUGCGCAUGCGCAUGCGCAUACGCGCGCGAGAACACCGUGUAGUAACCGGUACAAGGCACACCAUGUACCGGAAUUAUUAACUGUUAUGCAGAUGAAUCUCUUAUGCUUCUUCCACGCAUAACACCGAGUGCUCGAACUUUUCAACCUCCGCGCCGAAGGCGUUCACUCUAUCCGACCGAGAUCCUCCAUCAUCGACAACGUUGAUCUGAGUACCGCUGCCGUUCUAGCUUUAUACGGUAGCCGCGACUGCUCUCCGCGUUAACGAGCUGCGAAUGCGUGCGUGUCACGAGCUGGGAGGAGAGCAAUUUGCAAUUCUUCUGGUUUUUUUAUCUUGGAUUUUCCGUGAUUCUAUAUAUCAACGAAAGAUCUCUCAUAACUAUAAAAUAUGGGUUACCUUUUUAUAUAGAAGUUUAAGUUUAAGAUUGAGGGAGUAUUUACUUCCUUAUCCCGGAUUUUCUGACAUUUGAAGAAUCAAAGGAAAAUUCUCCUGAUUUUUUAUAAUAUUAUAAAUUAUUUUUAUUGAUUUUAACAUUUUAUUAAUGGAUUGACAAAAUUUUCAGGAGUAUAUAGAAACUUUUUUUUGGUUUCAAAUGAUUAGAAUUUAAAUUCUAAUUUAGAUCUAGAUAUUUUAUACCUUUACGUUAAGAAGGUAGAGUUAAUGAUGGUUUUUGAAUUUCUAGGUUACCGUGACAGCGAGACUUUCCCACAAUUUCUCGACUUUUCCAGCUACUUUCAGUUUUAUUUAAACAUACUACAUUUCUGGGCUUUUACUUUUGGUUUUACUGGUUUUAUACUGGAUUCCAAUGUUGAACUAUUGAGAUAGGCAUUAAUGGACAACGCAUUAAUCGUCUAAACUUCACUAAACAUAAAUCACACAAAUACUUAAACGUUAUCUUCACGACGACUACUCAUUGUUAUUCCCAAUUCUACCUUAUAUAUUCACAAAUUUUAUUCUGUGAGAUUUGUACAAGUUUAUUUACAUACGUUAGAACCAUGUUGUAAUAAUCUAAUGAUCAUUGUUCAACGAAUGAAUCAAUAGUCUACACUAAACACUACGUGUAGAAUACAUAACGUAUCGUAUUUGAAGCGCACUUCCUGGGUUCUCAGAAUAACAGGGUAAGUGACAAUUAUAUGUGUAUACAUAUAUACACAUAUACUUCCCAAUUUCAACUUCAUUCCAACAAAUACAGUAAAAACAAAACAGUCCAUUGAUUCUACAAUUUUGUUCCAUAGUCAUUCUUUAUUAUUUUUAGCUAAACAUCUGGAACGAAGUGAGAAAUACGUUAGUAUUAUUCCAGGAAAUAAAAUCUAACUCAACGUUGACCUUUGAUUCACCGAUUCCAACUGUUCAACGACUCCUCUCCACCUCUACACCUGUCGUCUAGUGAAACAGCUGGUGCAAGCCGAAUAUCCAGUGGUGUAUCACCGAACUUCGCUAUGAGGUGACCGGCCUACGUUUUCCUCCGUUUCCCGCGUUUAUAUUUAGCACGGUCGCCACCAGUUUACGACACGCGAGGAAUUUUUCGUCCUGGGGAACUGGUUUCUUUCCUUGUAUCUAACAAGCGUUGUGCAUUCGAUCUGAAAUGAUUCUUUAAUUUCAUUUGUUGAUUAUACUUUGAUUAAUAAUGUGAGCCAUAAGUAGCCAGGUUCAGAAUAGGUCACAAUGGUGUUUAAUUUGAAAUGUAUUCUUUGCUUUUGAUCAGUCACGCCAUUAUACAUAUGUGUAUAUGUGAUUCAACUAUUCUCUCUUUCUUUCUCUCUCUCUCUCUCUCUCUCUCGCUCUAUGUUUAUUUGUGUGUGUGAUUUGAUACAGGUGAGCUCUAAACAGAAAUUAAAGUGUUGAACUGUAUGUUUAAGGUUAGGUUUACAGCUGCAUAGAUACUGAAAAAAUAUUUAGUAGUGCAACAUGAUUUCUUUCCUAUUUAAAUUUGGAGCUUAAAAAAUUGUAAAAAUCGUCGAUUCCUUUUGUUCAAACGUCUAGUUGUUGAAGAUUUAUUACGGUGACGAACAAUUGUUCGAUGCAGCUAUUUCUUGUCCUAGACAGACCUGAGAUAAUAGUCUACUAUUAUAGAAGAGGGCAGAAUCUUUCCGAAGAAUCAUUGUAGUCCUCGUACACCGGAAAUGCGUCAUCAACAAAUCGUUCGAGUCUGUUUACGGAAAGGAGAAGUCAAUGGAUGAUGGUUUUUACACUACUCCGAGAUCAUUUUCUGUUCGAACGUCCGGUUUUUAGUACCGUGCAGUAUUGAGGUCGGGCAAAUUGACGGUAUAGAACAGUCGAGGAUUAAUCUCUCUUGAAAUUAUGAUUUUUCUACUUGUUAACGGCUACGGUUCUUCAACAUGCGAGUUUGCGUUUCUAACCUGUACAUGUAACAGCAUUAUUAUUGUAAGUUUUGUUUCGCAAUUGCAUCUGCAGAACUCAUAAAUGCAUCACUUGAACUUCAGAUUCUAAGUCAUGUGUUAAAUCACUUUUCUUUUCACGAUAUUUUGAAUGAUCCAGUAAUACUUAUUAUACCUAAUGGAAAUAUCAAACAGAGUAGUUCUUAAUUAGAAUGAUUAGAAAAAUUAUUACCUUCAUUAGAAAAAUUUUGGAAGACUCAAAACUCACAAAAGGACUUAUUCUAACCUUAAUAUCAUAAAAAUGGAACUAGUAUUUGCCGCCUAAAGUAGGUGGAGUUGUGAACCGCCUUAAGCUACUAAAUAUUCCAUUCCGCCUAUAUUCUGCCCCAAAUUACGUAUCCAAUCACCAAUGUCGUACCCGAAACAAUUUUCUAGCCUAAAACAGAUUUCAAUCUAAGUUCAUCAUUCGUCAAACUCUCAAAUUUUAUUUACCAUCUUACAUUUUUUAAACUACAAUCUUAUCGAAUCUUAUUUAAUUUCCAUUUACAUAUUAUCGUUAAGGCAGUUCCAUAAUAGUGCAAUUAUAGUAUAAUUCCUCUGUUUUAAUUUAUGAAGAUUGUGAAUCCACGGUGAUGUGUGCGCGCACUUUCUUUCCCGCGCUUAUGCGAUCAGCCCUCCCCCGGUUCCCACGAGCAUUCUCCUGCUCAUUACGACUUCCCGAGGCAGAGGUGCACACGGAACCAAGUCGGUUUCUCGAAAGGAACACCGGUAACAACUCGACCCUCGACUGCUCCGUCAAUAGUAGCUGCUCGAAUGCGGCCUGUUUCAAUAUUUGUAAAUCCUGCCAUUCCCCCCCUGCCCCUGUUACGUCGACACUCGACAGUUCUCUGCUCGUCAGGAUACAAACAAGGCGAUUCGACUUCUUAACCGGGGAAACUUGUUCAGAAAGGAUGGAGAAGGUUAAUCUGGUCUUUAUUAAACAUUUUCUUUUUGUACUUCUAUAGUUGGACACUGGAGAACUCUUUAUGGUUAACAAGAAUUUUUUAUAUCUUUCUUUUUGCAUUUGUUAUAGAUUCUCGAAUUAGCUUAUAUAAAUAAUAAAUCUGGCUUAAAUGUCCUUCUUUUAAAUUUCAGCUAAAAUAAUAUCUGGUAAUAUUGAACAUUGAAGAUAUAGAAAGAAAUAAGUACAUAUAUAAAAAGUCAAAGCUAUUAUGUGCUAUAAAUUAAACAAAAUAUUUAACGAAAUAAAUUAAACAAAAUAAAACAAUUAUAUCCUCUAAAUUAAACUAAAACUAGCUAUCUUUUGUCAUAUAAGCAAUUAUAAUUGAAAUUAUAAAGUUAUUAGGAAUAAAAAUUAAAAUAAUAUUAAAAAAUUGUCAAGGAUACAAACAUUUCAUGUACGGCAAUAGUCAACUAACGCGACGUUUCAGUUAUCCAAAGGUUUCAUGAGAGAAAGGAUACAGCGGAUAUUUAUCAUGAUCACCAUAAUUACAUCAAACCACUCCUAUCCGUAAUUGCCACGAAACUCCGUAUUAGAUAUAUGCAAUAAAUCCCCAUGAACGUUGAGCGUUCGUGAAUUUAUUAACUUCUUGUUGUCGACUCACCUUACAUAAACGGAACACGUUUUCAAUUUUAUUCAUCAAAUAUUUCUAAUAUUUCCUUGUCAUGCAUUUAUAGUAUCGUAAAAUACAUUGAUAUUUCGUUUUUAUUUAUUGAAUUCAAAGUGAUACAUAAUUGAUUGUAAAAAGCUGUCCAUAUUCUAGAUUUCAGAUCUUCAAAGAUGAUAAUGUAUAAAGUGUCUAAUUUAAUGCAUAUUACAUGAGCCUAUGAUCAGAAUUUUAAUUAAGAUAGAACCUUUCUAAGACUAUUUGAAAAAAGGAAUACUUUCACUCAGAAGCUCUAAAUAUUAUAAAUUAUAUUAUGUACUCAAAUUCUUCCCAACAUUCGUCCCAAAUUUAUUAUUUACAUUUAGCAUUCUACCAGUUUAAAAAAUCACUAGAAAUCAGUACUUCCAACUCAAUAGGUUUCACAUUUAAUCCCACCAAAAACUUCGAAAAUUACAAAGAACAUAAAAAAUAAAUGCCGUUAAUUGACUGAAUGUACUACAAUUCCUUAAUCUCAGUCGUUCCAAAUAAAAGCACACCGCAUCCUAACCUCAAAUCGAAGGUCGAAUCGCGCCGUGUAAUCGUAGACACUCGAAGCGCGUGGUGUAAACAAUACGUUCCGCCUGUGAGAGAAGCACUGCACGAGCCUCAAGGUCCAAACGCGAUCGGUAGGAACGCAAAAAGGAGUUGUUAAUGGAAGUGGAGUUCCAUCGGGCGCGAGCGAGCUGGCCAAGUAUAUAAGGAAAUCCAGUCGGGGAAUUAUGCAGAUUGUAGGUUGGAAUCCAUCUGCUGAUGGCUCGGACAGGGCAUACUCGAACCUACGUGAGUUCAUCCACGGCACAGGACCAACUACCCAUCAGUUCUGCCUGUCGGUUUCGUUGCCUCCACUAGCAGGACGUUCCUCUUUCUUCUAUCUGUACUUUUGGCCUCUCCAUCCUUUCCUUCUACAGUAUACGAAACGGUACGAGGGAAGCAGGAGGUUGGUGGAAGAAGCUUGAUCAUUUCCGUGGAAUUACGGGGCUGUGAACGGUACAAAGUUACCUAGGGAGAAAGGGGGAAGAGUUAAAUUAAUGAAAUCGCGACGCGCAAGCCACGACGCGCAGCUAUUAGCCUGGAAUGUUCAAAUUGUUCCUGGCUUACGGUCGAGGUUUUAUGAUUGAACUUUGAACCUAUCUUUUGCGUUAGAAAAGACGAUAUCCCUGUAAAGUUCUGGCAGCGAGGAUUUGGUCGAGUUCUUUGGUGAUUACACGGGUAACUAUGCGAAGAAUGUUCGAUAAAAUUCCCUAGGGAAUUGGAAUGGCACGGUUGGCUGUGUGAUUGGAGAAACAAGUUUUGGAAUCUGUAGUAGAAUUGUUUGCGUGUAGCACGGUCUGUAUCGUUAGAGAGGAAGUUCAAUGUCCUUAUAAAAAUUCCCUGUGGGGCUUACGGUUGGUUAUACUACUAGGGAAAAUUGUAGAAUGCUUUCUGAAUAAAUACUUGAGAAAGCUUUACGGAAAUUUGUCGAUACUCUCAUCAAUCAAAUUUAUAGUUAUAUAUUGCGAAAUGUAUAAUUAAAUUCCCUAUAAUACUUUGUUACACCUUCAUAAGAAUAUAAUUCUUUAAAAAAUGCUACAAAUGCAACAAAUGGUUUCUACAUUGUUUUUGGCAAACUGUCAAUUACAAAACGGAAUUUAUUAUCGCAAUAAAUAUCUCUACAUUAUUCAGGCAUUGUACAUUGUGGAUUAUAACUCUCUCUGAAAGUGUUAAAUUCCUGUGUUCUCAAUUAAAUUAUCUGGAUACAGAUCGGAGGAGAUCGAUGGUAUCGUAAUGUUCAACUGACGAAACGAUGUAAAGGCAAGAGGAGAAGGGACGAUAGACGAGGAUAGAAGAGAAAGGAUAAGAAGGGAAAAGUUCUCCAGAGCGACAGGAUGAUGGAAAUUUGCGCCCAGUGAACCUUGUCCCGGAGCGUUGGGUUAUUUCUCUAUUUUCAUUCUUCUAAGAUAACUCUGGUCUGCUCGUGAUCCGGUUUACCUAUCUUGUCCAAUAAAUAUCGGGACAUCUCGUGAAAACUUCUGUUUAAACACGCUGAAAUCGCGUACACAAACAGAUUUCUCUAAUAAUCAAUGUUUUCUAUGCUGUAUUAUAAUGAACCGUUGUCAUCGAACCGUUAAGUGCUCUAUGUUGGGAAGACUGUUACUUUUACUGACAAGUACUGACGACAAGACACACAUAUGCAUAUCUUAAUAAAUGGUUUCUUCAUGGAUUAACUGGAACCUAACCUA
This is a long non-coding RNA of Bombus huntii, 11207 nucleotides long. RefSeq lists it as uncharacterized. The record is from RefSeq and is a predicted model, not a curated record. NCBI's taxonomy places the organism in Eukaryota, Metazoa, Arthropoda, Insecta, Hymenoptera, Apidae. The transcript is spliced from 6 exons.